UACAGAGGGGGCAAGCGUUGUUCGGAAUUACUGGGCGUAAAGGGCGCGUAGGUGGCCUUCUAAGUCGAACGUGAAAUCCCCGGGCUCAACCCGGGAACUGCGUCCGAUACUGGAAGGCUUGAAUCCGGGAGAGGGAUGCGGAAUUCCAGGUGUAGCGGUGAAAUGCGUAGAUAUCUGGAGGAACACCGGUGGCGAAGGCGGCAUCCUGGACCGGUAUUGACGCUGAGGCGCGAAAGCCAGGGGAGCAAACGGG
RNAcentral lists this ribosomal RNA (253 nucleotides) under uncultured bacterium. RNAcentral's name for it is "partial 16S ribosomal RNA". It matches the Rfam family "Bacterial small subunit ribosomal RNA", at positions 524 to 776 of the family's 1533-position model. The record is from RNAcentral.